AAUCCCGCGAGGGCUUGUGCGGAGGAAGUCUGACCGCACCAACAGUAGGCGCUUUAGGCGAAAGUACGAGCCGACGAACAGACAAAAUAGCAGGAGCCAUUUUGAACAGCUUCAGCUGGCCCAAAGGGUGAACCCAGGGAUGUAGUGAAUAAAUCGCAUACAAGGCCGAGUCUCGUGGGCGAGUGAGCCAAAGAUCACAAAGCCCUCUGGUUUGAGAGAUACGGUAAAUGCGGCGGCUGUGUACGGACAGUUCAUGUU
Molecule: non-coding RNA, 258 nt
Organism: Endozoicomonas sp. (ex Bugula neritina AB1)
Lineage: Bacteria; Pseudomonadati; Pseudomonadota; Gammaproteobacteria; Oceanospirillales; Endozoicomonadaceae
Source: Rfam